AUACGAAGGGGGCUAGCGUUGUUCGGAAUUACUGGGCGUAAAGCGCGCGUAGGCGGAUUGGUUAGUUAGGGGUGAAAUCCCAGGGCUUAACCCUGGAACUGCCUCUAAUACUGCCAGUCUUGAGUUCGGGAGAGGUGAGUGGAAUUCCUAGUGUAGAGGUGAAAUUCGCAGAUAUUAGGAAGAACACCAGUGGCGAAGGCGGCUCACUGGCCCGAUACUGACGCUGAGGCGCGAAAGCGUGGGGAGCAAACAGGAUUAGAUACCCGAGUAGUCC
RNAcentral lists this ribosomal RNA (274 nucleotides) under uncultured bacterium. Its description in RNAcentral is "partial 16S ribosomal RNA". It matches the Rfam family "Bacterial small subunit ribosomal RNA", at positions 523 to 796 of the family's 1533-position model. The record is from RNAcentral.